This 488-nucleotide ribosomal RNA is filed under the name uncultured bacterium. Its description in RNAcentral is "partial 16S ribosomal RNA". It matches the Rfam family "Bacterial small subunit ribosomal RNA", at positions 28 to 507 of the family's 1533-position model. The record is from RNAcentral.
GACGAACGCUGGCGGCGUGCUUAACACAUGCAAGUCGAACGGAAAGGCCCUGCUUUUGUGGGGUGCUCGAGUGGCGAACGGGUGAGUAACACGUGAGUAACCUGCCCUUGACUUUGGGAUAACUUCAGGAAACUGGGGCUAAUACCGGAUAGGAGCUCCUGCUGCAUGGUGGGGGUUGGAAAGUUUCGGCGGUUGGGGAUGGACUCGCGGCUUAUCAGCUUGUUGGUGGGGUAGUGGCUUACCAAGGCUUUGACGGGUAGCCGGCCUGAGAGGGUGACCGGCCGCACUGGAACUGAGACACGGUCCAGAGGCCUACAGGAGGCAGCAGUGGGGAAGAUGGGACAAUGGGCGCAAGCAUGAUCCAGCCAUAGCGGGUGGGUGAAGAAGGCGUUCGGGGUGUGAAGCACUUUUGUGGGGAAAGAAAAGCAGCAGGGUAAUACCAAGCUGUUCUGAAGGUACCCAAAGAAUAAGCACCGGCUAACUUCGUG